Molecule: non-coding RNA, 2868 nt
Filed under: Pan troglodytes (chimpanzee)
Lineage: Eukaryota; Metazoa; Chordata; Mammalia; Primates; Hominidae
Source: RNAcentral
AAAGCCGCCGCUGCCGCCGCCGGGGGUGGGAGCCGCGCUCGCCCGCCCGCCCCUCGACUCGCGAGGGCGUAAAAGUUUGUCUCAGCUCGAGCAUUCCUAGCGCCAACACGCCCUCAGGUAAAGGUGGAAGUAAAUGGCCACGCUGUAUUGACAGAGACAGGGACUGAGAAACGGAAAUACUACCAUCCUCCAGCCAAUCUGUUGGGAGGACUGCUUGCAGAGGACUCGUGCUCCAGAUGUUGCACUAGAGGCGCUGCAAGUGUGAGCAGCAGGUAGAUGAAACUCAAGAGAAAAGGUGUGGAUAAAUGAAACUAGCCCAUGAUGAACCUGUUUUCUCCAUGACCACAAUAUUAACCAGGAUGAUGGCGGUGGCAGUGGGCCUGCAUCACAGGUUGCAGCAGAUGUUCUCAAUAUUUCUAUUAAAAUUUCCUUAUUUCCAUAUGCAAGAGGAGCCCCAGAGCUGCAUCCUUAUGGUAGCUACCAUGCCGUGAUGUAAGCUGCCAUUCACUGGGGAGCUUUGGCAAUAGAAUUGGCUAGAUCAGCAAGCCCAUGUCAACUAUGGAACAACAACUUGCAGCUCAUCUCUAUUGAUGAUGGAAUCUCGCUAUGUCACCAGGCUGGAGUGCAGUGGCGCAACCUCGGCUCAGCGCAACAUCCGCCUCCCGGGUUCAAGUGAUUCUCCUACCUCAGCCUCCCGAGUAGCUGGGAUUACAGGAAUCUAAUGACCAUUGAACUGUGGCCAUGACUUCAAUUACAAGUAUUUUCUUCACUAAUGUCAGACUGUGGGCCUUUGUAUAUACACUUUUAACAAACUUUUUGGAAGUGCAAUACAUAUCGCAACAACUUCUCAAUGCUGAAUCAUAGUAUUGGAAGACAUUUUAAGCAACAAUUAAACUCAACUUAUUUACUACCAAUAAUGUACAUAAGUCAGCUGAAGUGAGGAUAACAUGAAUAGCACAAAUACAUUAUGAUUGCUGCCUGGCCAACAGUAAUUAUAAGAAACCGUCAGUUUUGAGAUGUGUCUUGAUUUCAGAGAUGUUAAAAAAGUUUGUAAGUUACCAUUGAUAAAAUAUGAGUUUGCUUCCGCAAAUAUUCUUUCUUCUGUCCUUCUGGAACUCAAGAGUAAACAUAUAUUAGAUUUUCUCACCAUUUCAUGCAUGCUGGUUCCUAGGCUACUCUCUGAGUCAUUUUUUUUUUUCUGAUCUGCCCUGCAGUUCACUAGUUCUGUCAUUUUCUGGGUCUGAUCUGCUGCAAAUGCAAUACAUUGAGUUUUAAAUUUCAGUCAUUGUGUUUUCAUUUCUAGAAAUUUCAUUUGACUCUUUUUCAAAUUACUUUUCCAUUUUUUUUGUAGUUUCCUAUCCCUGGAGAUAUUUUCAAUCAUGCCAUUUAAUUUUUUAAAUACGCAAGUGUAGUUUUAUAAUUUGUGUCUGAUAAUUCUAAUAUCUGAAGUCUUAGUAGGUCUGUUUCAGUUGUCCUGUAAUUAUGCAUGUUUUUGCCCAUGUUGCUUUGUUUCCUUGUAUGCUUGGUUAUCUUUCUUACUGCCCUUGCAAAAUUAUUUGGAGAGUCCUGGAGGCUUAAAUGAAGAUAACUUUUAGGAAGAAUUUGCAUUUGCUUUUGCCGAGGAUCUUGGGAUCAUUUCAACCAAAAUCUUAGCUUGAAGUUCUGCAGUCAAUCAAGGUGAUGAGAACCUGGUCAGUAAAUCCUAAUGAGGGCCAGGCUGUGGCCAAAGAUUUUUAGACAGACGUUUCCCUCCUUUGCCAUUUCUCUUUUCUUUCCUCCUCUGUUCCCCUUAGUGUCCAGACAACCUUCAUGGAAGUCCUUGGGGUGGGUGGGAAAUGAGGACGGCAGGUUUCAUUCUAGGUUUAGCCCUUUGAGGUCUAACUUAAUGCAGAGAGAGUUUUCUGGUCUAUGUGCCACCUUACAUGGGAUCUUGAGCCUUGAUUUCUAAACCCCUUGCCUUUGAUGUUUCAGAAUUGAAGCUUAAAUUUGCCAACAGGCAAAUGUCCUCAAGGCAAAUUGGCUUAGGUGUUCGAUAUUCUUCUUACCAGAAAGGUAAACUUGGGUUUUUUACUUCACCCAGAAUUUGGCAUGACAGUUCCCCAUUAUCUUGUCAGCUUAGUGCUUUAAGUGAUUGCAUUUAAAAAAAUUCUGCAUUUUCAGUUUUCAGCAGGAGGAAUGGCCUCAACUAGUGGUUUUCAACUGGGGAUGAUUUUUUUCCCCUAGGGGACAUUUGAUAAUGUUUGGAGAUGUUUUAGUUGUUAGAACUGGGGUUGGGGGAACUACUGUCAUCUGGUGGGGAGAGACAGGCAAUGCUGUUGAUCUUACUAUAAUGCACAGGCCACCCCCAACAACAAACAAAUUACAUAGCUCCAAAUAUCAAUAAUGCCAAGGUCCAAAUAACCUAACCUUCCAUUACUGAAAAUAGAAGUUCAAGAAGAUAGUUUAUAAUUUAAAAAUUUUUAGGUCUUAAUAAGUUGUCAUACUUUCACAGGUUUUAUUUCAUACUAAGUAAUUUAUUUCAAAUUUUACAUUCCAAUUACAGAAAAUUUUCUAAGCCAGUUUUUGUUCUUCAUGAGUAUUACUAUCAAGGUCACAUUUUUCAUCUAGUAUGUUUUACCCUGGUACUUGUUGGCAGGGUCAGGACUAAGGUGAGAUGCGCAAGGCAUUUGCCUCACACAAAAUGCACAAUGAAUAAAAUGUCAAAACUUUAAAUAAAGACAGAAUCACUAAAAGUACUUUGCCAUAUUGGAACCUGAGGCAAAAAGAAAAAUAAGUAAUAAUAUUAAAAAUUUUGAUAUCUUGUUCAUCAUAGAUUUUUACAUUAAUUUUGAUUGUUUAAAACAUUGCAUUAAAAUAUUAUUUAAUGUG